This 250-nucleotide ribosomal RNA is filed under the name uncultured bacterium. Its description in RNAcentral is "partial 16S ribosomal RNA". It matches the Rfam family "Bacterial small subunit ribosomal RNA", at positions 74 to 339 of the family's 1533-position model. The record is from RNAcentral.
CGGAGCUUGCUCUGGGAAAGUUAGUGGCAAACGGGUGAGUAACACGUGGGAAUCUACCCAUCAGUACGGAACAACAUUUGGAAACAGAUGCUAAUACCGUAUAUUCUCGAGAGAGGAAAGAUUUAUCGCUGAUGGAUGAGCCCGCGCAAGAUUAGGUAGUUGGUAAGGUAAUGGCUUACCAAGCCUACGAUCUUUAGCUGGUCUGAGAGGAUGAUCAGCCACACUGGAACUGAGACACGGUCCAGACUCC